Molecule: long non-coding RNA, 289 nt
Filed under: Lupinus angustifolius (narrow-leaved blue lupine)
Lineage: Eukaryota; Viridiplantae; Streptophyta; Magnoliopsida; Fabales; Fabaceae
Description: long non-coding RNA (LANG_LNC002510)
Source: RNAcentral
GGGUAGAGCAUUUUUAUUAUUAUUAUUGAUUAUUGUUGCUUAUCUAUUAGCAUGACACAAAGGAAGAAAGAAGAAAUUCUAUCACAACUUAUGAUAAUUGAUAAUACACAUUAUAUGGUAAAAGAAGACAAAAAGAAAACCUGUAAAUAAAGCAGCUACCGCGCCUAAUGUAUAUUAUACUAUUUAACAACUGAGGAGGGAAACGAUUUUCUCUUCUUCUAAGGUUUAUAGUUAUCUGUAUAAAUAUAGUCGGUGUGAGCCAUAAGUGUUUUCCUCAUCAAACAUUCAU